RNAcentral lists this ribosomal RNA (857 nucleotides) under uncultured archaeon. RNAcentral describes it as "bacterial SSU rRNA". It matches the Rfam family "Archaeal small subunit ribosomal RNA", at positions 67 to 910 of the family's 1478-position model. The record is from RNAcentral.
UAUGUCUGUGAGUGGCAUACUGCUCAGUAACACGUAGUUAACCUACCCUUCGGACGUGGACAACCCCGAGAAAUUGGGGCUAAUCCGCGAUAGAUGUGAUGUCCUGGAAUGGUAUUACGUCUAAAGGUAUAUCAUACAUGUUUGAUAUACGCCAAAGGAUGGGACUGCGGCUGAUCAGGCAGUUGGUGAGGUAAUGGCUCACCAAACCAUUGACCAGUACGGGCCAUGAGAGUGGUAGCCCGGAGAUGGACACUGAGACAAGGGUCCAGGCCCUACGGGGCGCAGCAGGCGCGAAACCUCCUCAAUGCACUAACGUGCGAAGGGGUUACCUCGAGUGCUAUCUGAUGAAGGUGGCUUUUCCAUGGUCUAAAAAGCCUAGGGAAUAAGAGGGGGGCAAGACUGGUGUCAGCCGCCGCGGUAACACCAGCCCCUCGAGUGGUGGGGAUGAUUAUUUGGCCUAAAGCGUCCGUAGCCUGCCGGAUAAGUUUCCCGUUAAAUCCAACGUCUCAAGCGUUGGACUGCGGGAAAUACUGUCUGGCUAGAGAGUGGGAGAGGUCAGCGGUAUUCUGGGGGUAGGGGCGAAAUCCUUUGAUCCCCGGAGGACCACCAGUGGCGAAGGCUGCUGACUAGAACACGUCUGACGGUCAGGGACGAAAGCUGGGGUAGCGAACCGGAUUAGAUACCCGGGUAGUCCCAGCCGUAAACGAUGCAUGCUAGGUGUUGGGUUGGCCACGAGCCACCCCAGUGCCGCAGGGAAGCCGUUAAGCAUGCCGCCUGGGAAGUACGAUCGCAAGAUUGAAACUUAAAGGAAUUGGCGGGGGAGCACCACCAGGCGUGAAGCCUGCGGUUUAAUUGGA